UACAGGCUUAACACAUGCAAGUCGAGGGGCAGCAUUUCACCUUUGCUUGCAAACUGGAGAUGGCGACCGGCGCACGGGUGAGUAACACGUAUCCAACCUGCCGAUAACUCGGGGAUAGCCUUUCGAAAGAAAGAUUAAUACCCGAUGGUAUAAUCAGACCGCAUGGUCUUGUUAUUAAAGAAUUUCGGUUAUCGAUGGGGAUGCGUUCCAUUAGGCAGUUGGUGAGGUAACGGCUCACCAAACCUUCGAUGGAUAGGGGUUCUGAGAGGAAGGUCCCCCACAUUGGAACUGAGACACGGUCCAAACUCCUACGGGAGGCAGCAGUGAGGAAUAUUGGUCAAUGGGCGCAGGCCUGAACCAGCCAAGUAGCGUGAAGGAUGACUGCCCUAUGGGUUGUAAACUUCUUUUAUAUGGGAAUAAAGUUUUCCACGUGUGGAAUUUUGUAUGUACCAUAUGAAUAAGGAUCGGCUAACUCCGUGCCAGCAGCCGCGGUAAUACGGAGGAUCCGAGCGUUAUCCGGAUUUAUUGGGUUUAAAGGGAGCGUAGGUGGACAGUUAAGUCAGUUGUGAAAGUUUGCGGCUCAACCGUAAAAUUGCAGUUGAUACUGGCUGUCUUGAGUACAGUAGAGGUGGGCGGAAUUCGUGGUGUAGCGGUGAAAUGCUUAGAUAUCACGAAGAACUCCGAUUGCGAAGGCAGCUCACUGGACUGCAACUGACACUGAUGCUCGAAAGUGUGGGUAUCAAACAGGAUUAGAUACCCUGGUAGUCCACACAGUAAACGAUGAAUACUCGCUGUUUGCGAUAUACAGUAAGCGGCCAAGCGAAAGCAUUAAGUAUUCCACCUGGGGAGUACGCCGGCAACGGUGAAACUCAAAGGAAUUGACGGGGGCCCGCACAAGCGGAGGAACAUGUGGUUUAAUUCGAUGAUACGCGAGGAACCUUACCCGGGCUUAAAUUGCAUUUGAAUAUAUUGGAAACAGUAUAGCCGUAAGGCAAAUGUGAAGGUGCUGCAUGGUUGUCGUCAGCUCGUGCCGUGAGGUGUCGGCUUAAGUGCCAUAACGAGCGCAACCCUUAUCUUUAGUUACUAACAGGUCAUGCUGAGGACUCUAGAGAGACUGCCGUCGUAAGAUGUGAGGAAGGUGGGGAUGACGUCAAAUCAGCACGGCCCUUACGUCCGGGGCUACACACGUGUUACAAUGGGGGGUACAGAAGGCAGCUACCUGGUGACAGGAUGCUAAUCCCAAAAGCCUCUCUCAGUUCGGAUCGAAGUCUGCAACCCGACUUCGUGAAGCUGGAUUCGCUAGUAAUCGCGCAUCAGCCAUGGCGCGGUGAAUACGUUCCCGGGCCUUGUACACACCGCCCGUCAAGCCAUGAAAGCCGGGGGUACCUGAAGUACGUAACCGCAAGGAGCGUCCUAGGGUAAAACUGGUAAUUGG
Molecule: ribosomal RNA, 1435 nt
Filed under: uncultured organism
Description: SSU rRNA
Rfam family: Bacterial small subunit ribosomal RNA
Source: RNAcentral